Molecule: small RNA, 127 nt
Filed under: Marmota monax (woodchuck)
Lineage: Eukaryota; Metazoa; Chordata; Mammalia; Rodentia; Sciuridae
Source: RNAcentral
ACUGGGCAUGGUGGUGCAUGCCUGUAAUCCCAGCAGCUCGGGAGGCUGAGGCAGGAGGAUUGCAAGUUUGAAGCCAGCCUCAAUAAUUUAGUGAGACCCUAAGCAACUCUGUGAGACCCUGUUUCAA